This is a long non-coding RNA of Heterocephalus glaber (naked mole-rat), 1062 nucleotides long. The record is from Ensembl. Lineage: Eukaryota; Metazoa; Chordata; Mammalia; Rodentia; Bathyergidae.
GGGCCCCACUCAGGGUUCGGGAAGGAAGUGUGAACUUCUGGAGAUAUUGCUUGGUGACUCAGACCAUGGACUGGAGGAAUAAUACACUCUUGCUGCUUUCCCAUGCUUCUCAGAGUCCCCUCUCAUGGGUGGUGUGGUCUGCAGUGAUGUGAUGAGCAGGCAGGACAGAGGUCACACGGUAUCGUCCUGGGUGCUUCCUUUGAGCCAGCAGAUGCUCAGGUUGCCUCCAGGAUGGUGUGUCAUGGUCUCCAAAGGGAAAGGCUUGCUGUCACCUUCUUGUGGGUGCUGCAGAGGACAUGGUGGCCUUUUAUCCAGGCAGCUUUGUUCCUUGUGGUGGGCUCUCACAGAAGCCUUCAGGAUAAGGUGCCUGAGCUGCAGCCACUCCCCAUUGCCUGUAUCUACUGGGAAAGGUCCUCUCCUUCCAAAUAUUUCUCUCCUCCAAGUAACAUCAGGCUGGGUUCUAGAGAGAGCAGCCCAUGGGACUGAUAGUGGUGUCAGCCUACACUUUUCCCUUCCCCUCCUCAUGGGCCAGGGAAAAAGACAUGAAGACUUGGUUGGAUGUGUUUAUUUAGUAGGAAAGGCAGCUCCAUUGGGAAAGGGCUGGAACUGGUGGCUGUGGGUGUACAGCAGUGUUAUGGUUUGGGUUGAGAUGCCCCCUAAAGCCCCAUGUGGUCAUAGGGUUGGUCUAGAGUGUUUGAAGCUGGAAUUGAUUCAUGAUACAAUGCUAGGCUCAAGGGGGCUAGGAUUAAGAGUGUGAGUGCUACCCGCCCUACGUAGUAUGAAUAAGAUAAAAGGGGCACAAAGAUCCUGUUAAACUCUCUCUUGUUACCUUUGUUGCCUUGUGUAUGGCAUGUUGUUUGUCCUGAAACCUCUACAAACUGUAAGCCAAAUAAAACCAUUCCCCUCCAACUUUGGGUGUCUAGUAUUUUGUCUCAGCAGUGAGAGAAAAGUAACUAACAGAAGCAGUGCACUAUAAGAAGGGACUUCCAGCUCUCUCACUGUCAUUGUGGAAGCUGGAGCAGACAGUUGGCACCUUGGGCAGAGGUGACAGGAAGAACAGGG